AUUUGCUGCUCUAUUGUGAAACCGACAGAGAAGCCGAGAACUGAGGAUCUGCUUGAAAUAAAGUUGAUUUCCUUAUUUGCCCAGAGAAGGGGCUUGGGGAUUUACAACUGAGCUUUCACUGUUACCGACACGGACUCGCUGGCUCUGUGGUUCGCUAACCCCUGACGUUUCCAUCCGACGCCGGUCGCUGGCCUCACAGGUCGGUUUAAAAGCAUUUUCCAGCAAAUUUACCCUUUGCCAAACCAAUGGCACCUGGUGCUGAGCUGAAUCCUUCCCCCGGAGACGUCUCCUGGCUGCUGGCUGCCAAUUAGGCUGAGCAUCUUCGCGUGACACCAGAGAGAGAGCACGAACCUCCGUCCCGCUGCUUGUGUGAAAGGUCUGCGGCUCGUUAGGCUGGUUCCGCUGUCAUGCGGUACAACGUGCGAAGACACCUCAUAAAUCACCCAGAGCCCUGUUGCCUCUUCCCCCUACGCCGGGGCUCUGAGCUGUACUCUGGCUUCUACCUGUUUGCCUGGCACUGAAGUGGUUUUCCUGCUUCUCCUGCUCCUGCCGCUUGGCUGCCUGGUGAUGCGCCCCGGCCUGGCCUCCUGACACUGGACUCGCUGUUUGCCCUGUGGCCCAUCUUGGCCCCUGACUCCUGCUCUGGCCACUAGGUAAGACUGCCCCCUGCCAGGUAUGACAAAUUGCUAGGGUCAGUUUUGGAGCCUGGUUUCAAAGCUGGUGUGACCCAGGGGCCA
Molecule: non-coding RNA, 737 nt
Organism: Pelodiscus sinensis (Chinese soft-shelled turtle)
Lineage: Eukaryota; Metazoa; Chordata; Testudines; Trionychidae
Source: RefSeq, a predicted model, not a curated record